RNAcentral lists this ribosomal RNA (1689 nucleotides) under Triticum aestivum (bread wheat). Its description in RNAcentral is "partial small subunit ribosomal RNA". Lineage: Eukaryota; Viridiplantae; Streptophyta; Magnoliopsida; Poales; Poaceae. The record is from RNAcentral.
AUGGACUGGGAUUUGCCUCGCGGGCAUUCGCCUUUCUUUGCGGACGAGCACCAGUGCUCCAGUUCAAGACCAAGGGAUUGGACACCAGCUUUGGAUGAUCGCAGGCGGCGUGGCUCGUCGCCGCCAGGGCGCCACGAGGGACGCGGUCACGUGCAGUCCCGCGAUGACACGUUCUAUCGCUCCGGCCCCUUCCCGGUGGAGCGCGGCCGCGGCGACGGCUUCGAGGCGACACCCCGUCCAAGAUUCUCCCAUGGAGCCAUGUUCCCCGAGCGCUCCCCUGCCAUAAUCUUGGAGGGCGAGAGGCGAUGGACACCGUCUCCUCAGGAUCGCCGGCGGGGAGCUCUGUUCCCGGGGUCUGACGGCCAUGACCCCUGGACGCAGCGCUCCAUGGAGAGACUGGGGCAGCAGAGCUCGCCACGUGGAGACCGUGGGGGCUCGUUCCUGGAGACAGGAGACCGUGGGGAGCCCUACCCUUUGGGCCCGCCGCCUCCACACAAUCUCGGGGGCGGCAGAGGGGGCUUCCCACCACGGCGGUUCUUUCGCGGGAGGGGCGGGCUCCAGCAAACUGGGCCGCCAGGCGGCAGCGGACGCCAGCGAUCGCCUCGCCAGAGCUCGGUACUCCCUGCGCUGCGCACCGAGCCUGAAGCGUCGGGCGGCAGCCGACGCAAGGCAUUCCCCCGGAAGAGGUUGCCCCGCCCUGUGCGCGGAGUGCUGUCGGAGAAGCAAGUGGCAGGUGCUAUCAAGUCGACAGGAGUCGAGGAGCCGCAGCGUCCUUCGGAAUCUAAGCAUGAUGAUUCAAAUGGGGCGGUCAGACCGGAAGCUGCAAAUUGUGAAGGAAAGAUCAAGCCAGAAGCUACGGUGGAUGAAGGAGAUGGGACUAUCACCUCUGGUCUGAUUGUAGGGAUGUGCACAGAUGUACAGAAAGGCUACUUCCGUCUCACCGGGCCUCCAGAUGCAACAAAGAUAAGACCAAAGCUUGUACUUGUAGAAGCCCUGAAGUUUGUCCAGGUCUCAAGUAAAGACUACAAUUUUAGAACAGAUCAACUGAAAUCAAUUCGUCAAGAUAUGACUAUCCAGAACAUAGAGGAUGAACUUUCUGUGCAGGUUUAUGAGUAUCAUGCAAGACUUGCGUUGUGCAAUCGAGAUAUGGCUGAACUUAACUUGUGCCUCACGAAGCUGCACUGCCUCUAUGGGAAUAAGCGGAAUGGUGGCCAUCAUGGUGAAUUUGCAGCUUAUGAUAUAUUGUUGUCUGCGAUUCAAGACAAAAAUACUGAACUGAUGUCUAAACUUGGAAGGCUGUCAAGCGACCUGAAACAGCAAGAAACUGUGAAGCAUGCCAAAGAAGUGGCUCACAGUAUACAGACAGGGAACUAUGCAUCAUUUUUCAAACUCUACAAGGUGGCUCCAAACCUCAAUGGCUACCUGAUGUGUCUCUGCUUUGAGAAGAUGAGAUUUGAAGGUUUAAAAUGUAUGGCAAAGGCCUACGCAACCAAGAUACCUGUUAAAUACGUAUCCAAAAUCUUAGGUUUUGCUGCAGUAGACGGAAGUGUUGAUUGGCUUAAAAGUCAUGGUGCUGUUUUAUCAUCCUUCGAGAAUGGGGAGAUGGCUUUACUGCCAAAGGACUCUACAGCUCUCGUCUCUAAGCCAGAACUUGCUGCUGAUGGUAUUCGUGCUUUCCAAGCCCGCUGA